Molecule: long non-coding RNA, 792 nt
Filed under: Struthio camelus australis
Lineage: Eukaryota; Metazoa; Chordata; Aves; Struthioniformes; Struthionidae
Description: lncRNA (ENSSCUG00000009448.1)
Source: RNAcentral
AUCGCUAUACCAAUAUAAUAUAACAACUAUCUCCUACAUGCUGAUUUCAUUUUUCAUUUUUUUCAGAGGUGAUGAACAGAUAUUCAGAAAAGGAGGGAGAAAAAAUCUUGCCCAUGCGAUGGAUGGAGGGGGUGAAAAAAAGAAGAAUGUUCAAAGAACUGCGAGGACUUAGUUCCCAUGACCACCACCCUGGGCAGAAGAACUUACAGAAAAGGAUGCGUCUGCAUUUUCUACAAUAAAAAUGUACUGUAAAAUCAAAAUUGUAAACUACAUUAUCUCCCUCUCCCUCUUCACCUGCUCUCUACACAGUGGUUUCUCCACCACCUUGAUAACAAAGGUGUUCUCCACUUGCACGCUCCCUUUCUGGUGAAAUCACUCUUCAUCUCGAUAUAGUAACUCAGCUUCUACAAGGGACUGGAGUUUGUCCCUACCAUAUUUCCCUGUCUACAUCUCCAGCAUGGACGGGACAUAUCAUUUCUGGGAACAGAGACUGGAUACUUAAAUCUCAGGCUAGGACCCAUUUCACUGAUGGAUCCUCCAGUCCUCUUAGUUUCAUUAGCGGAAAAGAGAUUAGAGAAACCAGAGAGAAGAGCCCCAGCACCGAAGCUUCUGGUUGUGUUACAGGGCAUUGGUCGGAACAGUUAAAUAUUCCUCGUCAUCUACCCGAACUGAAAGUGCGGAAAGAUGAAGAUUUGAAGACAGCUAAGGACCUGCAAGGAAAGAAGAACAAGGGGAUUCUCUACAGUAAACUAUUUCAGACAACGAUUGUCAACAUUACCUUUAAGAAAAGUA